This 206-nucleotide long non-coding RNA is filed under the name Capsicum annuum. RNAcentral describes it as "long non-coding RNA (CANN_LNC019558)". Lineage: Eukaryota; Viridiplantae; Streptophyta; Magnoliopsida; Solanales; Solanaceae. The record is from RNAcentral.
AUCUCACAACAUUUUGCAUUUUCCUGUAAAUAGGCACCUGAAUGUACUGUUGCAACAUAAAACAUUCAAGCUUGAAUAGUCGCGUUUUCCAUCAUAACAUGAUACGGAAACAGAACACCUUUUUUCUAAUAGUUUGAGGGGAAUAAGAGAGGGAUUACAAGGUGGAGAACACAACCCCACCAACAAGUGAAAAUUCAAUUAGCCAA